UGGCGGCACGCCUAAACAUGCAAGUCGAACGAAGUAGCAAUACUUAGUGGCAGACGGGUGAGUAACAUGUGGGUAUCUGCCCUUUGGCCUGGAAUAACACGAGGAAACUUGUGCUAAUACCGGAUAAGUCUUUACGGAGAAAGCUUUAUGCACCAUUGGAUGAGCCUGCACUUGAUUAGUUUGUUGGUGGGGUAAUGGCCUACCAAGACUGUGAUCAAUAGCUGAUUUGAGAGGAUGAUCAGCCACAUUGGGACUGAGACACGGCCCAAACUCCUACGGGAGGCAGCAGUGGGGAAUCUUGCACAAUGGAGGAAACUCUGAUGCAGCGAUGCCGCGUGAGUGAAGAAGGCCCUUGGGUUGUAAAGCUCUUUCGUCGGGGAAGAAAAUGACUGUACCCGAAUAAGAAGGUCCGG
This 413-nucleotide ribosomal RNA is filed under the name uncultured bacterium. RNAcentral describes it as "bacterial SSU rRNA". It matches the Rfam family "Bacterial small subunit ribosomal RNA", at positions 37 to 496 of the family's 1533-position model. The record is from RNAcentral.